Molecule: small nucleolar RNA, 129 nt
Filed under: Jaculus jaculus (lesser Egyptian jerboa)
Lineage: Eukaryota; Metazoa; Chordata; Mammalia; Rodentia; Dipodidae
Description: Small nucleolar RNA SNORA33 (ENSJJAG00000009285.1)
Rfam family: Small nucleolar RNA SNORA33
About the family: ACA33 is a member of the H/ACA class of snoRNA that guide the sites of modification of uridines to pseudouridines.
Source: Rfam by way of RNAcentral
GAGUCAACCAAUUGGUCUGCUUAUCUGAAUCUGUUUCUACAGAAAUGUAGAGAUCUGGCAAUAGUGAUGCCAUAUUAUGAACCUUAAGGACAGCUGAGGUCAUUAAGGUCCCUGAAGAUGGCUACAAUA